GGCUCAGGACGAACGCUGGCGGCGUGCUUAAUACAUGCAAGUCAACUUGACUUUAGAUAGCAAUAUCGAAAGUAGGGUGGCGCACGGGUGCGUAACGCGUAGGUAAUCUGCCCUGAGGUCUGACAUAACCCGUCGAAAGGCGGGCUAACAUCAGAUGAUAUAUAAUCACGACAUCGUGGAAAUAUCAAAUCUUCGGAGCCUUGGGAUGAGCCUGCGUCUGAUUAGGUAGUUGGCGGAGUAAUAGCCCACCAAGCCUACGAUCAGUAGCUGGUCUGAGAGGAUGAUCAGCCACACUGGAACUGAGACACGGUCCAGACUCCUACGGGAGGCAGCAGUAAGGAAUAUUGCUCAAUGGGGGAAACCCUGAAGCAGCAACGCCGCGUGAAGGAUGAAAUACUUUGUAUGUAAACUUCUGUAAGAUGGGAAAAUAUUCUCCUCGGGAGAAUUGAUUGUACCAUCAGAGUAAGCCCCGGCUAACUACGUG
RNAcentral lists this ribosomal RNA (484 nucleotides) under uncultured bacterium. RNAcentral describes it as "bacterial SSU rRNA". It matches the Rfam family "Bacterial small subunit ribosomal RNA", at positions 21 to 507 of the family's 1533-position model. The record is from RNAcentral.